This 486-nucleotide ribosomal RNA is filed under the name uncultured bacterium. RNAcentral describes it as "SSU rRNA". It matches the Rfam family "Bacterial small subunit ribosomal RNA", at positions 26 to 523 of the family's 1533-position model. The record is from RNAcentral.
AGGACGAACGCUGGCGGCGUGCUUAACACGUGCAAGUCGAACGGAUCACUUUCGGGUGGUUAGUGGCGAACGGGUGAGUAACACGUGGGUAACCUGCCCCUCACUCUGGGAUAACUCCGGGAAACCGGGGCUAAUACUGGAUAUGACCUCAUGCUGCAUGGUGUGGGGUGGAAAGUUUUUCGGUGGGGGAUGGGCCCGCGGCCUAUCAGCUUGUUGGUGGGGUGAUGGCCUACCAAGGCGUCGACGGGUAGCCGGCCUGAGAGGGCGACCGGCCACACUGGGACUGAGACACGGCCCAGACUCCUGCGGGAGGCAGCAGUGGGGAAUAUUGCGCAAUGGGCGGAAGCCUGACGCAGCGACGCCGCGUGAGGGAUGACGGCCUUCGGGUUGUAAACCUCUUUCAGCACAGACCAAGGCCAUUCUUUGGGUGGUUGAGUGUAUGUGCAGAAGAAGCACCGGCUAACUACGCGCCAGCAGCCGCGGUAA